Molecule: long non-coding RNA, 394 nt
Organism: Artibeus jamaicensis (Jamaican fruit-eating bat)
Lineage: Eukaryota; Metazoa; Chordata; Mammalia; Chiroptera; Phyllostomidae
Exons: 3
Source: RefSeq, a predicted model, not a curated record
GUGGCGGGAGAGUAGCUACAUUAUCGUCUGGCUGCACUUGCUGGCGGACAAGUGAUUAUUUUCUGCCCUGCUGGCAACCCCAUUUGCCCUCGGUGUUAUUCUUUCUCUGUGCUCCUACUUCUGGUGCUAAAGAGAUUAUUGGUUAUAAUAAGCAGUGCCCCAAAUGUGAUUUCUCCAAUGGACAAUACGCUUGCUUCCCAAGUGCUGCCUUCACCCCUACGAUGGAAGCUUCAUGAAAACUAGGACCACGGGUGAAAUUACUCACAAUUUCCCUUGUGUCUUCCUGUAUUUUGUACAGGUGAUAACAAAAAGCCUUCUUUUGUGUUUCUCUGUAUAUUGCAAGUCACUUUUGCCUUUUUAAUCAGGCAGAGGGUAUUAAAAACAAUGAACUUUC